CAGCCGCCGCGGGAAAACGGAGGGUGCAAGCGUUAAUCGGAAUUACUGGGCGUAAAGCGCACGCAGGCGGUCUGACAAGUCAGAUGUGAAAUCCCCGGGCUUAACCUGGGAACUGCAUUUGAAACUGUCAGGCUGGAGUCUUGUAGAGGGGGGUGGAAUUCCAGGUGUAGCGGUGAAAUGCGUAGAGAUCUGGAGGAAUACCGGUGGCGAAGGCGGCCCCCUGGACAAAGACUGACGCUCAGGUGCGAAAGCGUGGGGAGCAAACAGGAUUAGAGACCCCGGUAGUCCCUGUCUCUUAUAA
This 301-nucleotide ribosomal RNA is filed under the name uncultured bacterium. Its description in RNAcentral is "partial 16S ribosomal RNA". It matches the Rfam family "Bacterial small subunit ribosomal RNA", at positions 509 to 809 of the family's 1533-position model. The record is from RNAcentral.